GGGGAUUUAGCUCAGCGGCAUAAGCGCCUGCCUUGCAAGCAGGCAGUCGUGAGUUCAGUCCCCA
RNAcentral lists this transfer RNA (64 nucleotides) under Cavia porcellus (domestic guinea pig). It matches the Rfam family "tRNA". Rfam says of the family: Transfer RNA (tRNA) molecules are approximately 80 nucleotides in length. Their secondary structure includes four short double-helical elements and three loops (D, anti-codon, and T loops). The record is from Rfam by way of RNAcentral. Lineage: Eukaryota; Metazoa; Chordata; Mammalia; Rodentia; Caviidae.